Molecule: long non-coding RNA, 363 nt
Filed under: Nicotiana benthamiana
Lineage: Eukaryota; Viridiplantae; Streptophyta; Magnoliopsida; Solanales; Solanaceae
Description: long non-coding RNA (NBEN_LNC020309)
Source: RNAcentral
CAUGCUUAAGAACCUCAAACUAUGCGGCACGGGCUUCCAUGGUCUCGACAGGAAAGAAGUGGUCCAUGAAGGCAUCUACGAACUCAUCCUAUCUAGCUGGAGGUCUCCCCUCCUCACGGGAAUCCUCCCACAUCUCACACAACGAACGUGCCACUCUCUUCUACCUGUAUGAAGCCAAUUCUAACCCUUCUAUCUCUGUAGCCUUCAUCACUCGAAGAGUCUUUUACAUCUCGUCAAGGAAAUCCUGCGGAUCGGCCUCUGGGUCUGUUCCUGAGAACUAUGGAGGGGACAGUCACAGAAAAUGAUGAACUCUAGGGAUGGAGGAAUCUCCCUGUCCGCUGGAGGACACAGGGGCAUCAUGAG